UAGUAUUGGGUAGUGGGCCGAGCCGAGUGACAUACACCCACAUUAAGUGCAUGCUCACCCGAGGCGCACUUACCUUAAGGGAGUGCUGAGGGCACUGCCUUCUCCCCAGCAGCAAGGAUGCAGUUCGUCCUUCCAGACAAGACAGGGAGCUUUUGCGUAGCUCACUGGUCCCUGACAGGAGAAUCAUGGCCGCUUCCCAAAGCCGCAUUAUCUCCAUGGAGCCUCCUAGGGAGAGACAGGAUGCUGGGUAUUAGAGGACGACGUGACAGACCUAACAAAGGCAGCACAUGCUCUGGGAAGAAGGAUUCAGUCACACACCCAGGAGAAAAGCUGGCCCACAUCAGGUCCCUCAACAGAAGACAACAUGGCGUCCCACAUCGGAAGUCAACACUUCAAGGAGGCUGUCACAGUGGUGAAGGGGCUGCCAAGGCUGACUCAUUGCAUUUUAAGUAAACAUACACCCCCAAGAGCACGUGUCAUCGCAGUCCACCAAGCAGUCACAGCAAGUCCAUGGCCGCUUCCCCAGAGUUGGUGGGAGCUCUGGAAAGUCUUCCUGGAGUGGGAGUGAUGCUGAGGGUUGGUGACUAGGUGGCCCACAGGGUGAACACAGUGCAUGCCCCUCUGGUCAACCAGUCACACACCCUGGACGGUGCUGACACCAACAUCUCUUCUGGAAGUCGGCCUGGGGCCCAGGGAGCCUCUCUUCAAAGUCUUGUGAGGUGACGCUGGUGACAGAACCACAGCUGAUUCCCCAGAGUUGGUGAGACCCAUGGGAAGACCUCCUAUAGGUGCAUGGGAGGCUCGGAUUAUCGGGCCAGGUGACUUACAGCUAGGUCAGCGCAUUGUCCAUGGCCCGCCAUCCAUUCUUGGCUUUUCCACAUGGUUGACACAAAGACUAUCUUUCCUGAAGCUGCCAUUGUGUCCAGGAAGUCCUUAGAGGUAGCAUUUGGUACUGAAAAAAGUGUUGUCCGUGAAUGAUUCGUCAUAAGUAAAGCGAAUCCACCACGAACAACUUCUCUUCAAGUACCACAGAAAAGCAGAGACAAGACAGACAAGGAGUCCCCUUCCACUUCUCCAAGGGGAGUGGCUGCCAACCACCAUCCUGUGGACAGAGUGGACACCGAGCAUUAGUGAGGCAGCUUACGGGUGUCCUAGGAACACACUGGAGUUUGGGCAACCCUUCACUCACCUCCCUUGGAGUGGUGCUGGCACAGUCCCCCUUCCCUGGAGUUGAAAUUGUGGUCCUGAAUCCACACGCACAAGGUUUAGAAAUAAGAAGAGGGAAGCCACUUGUCACACGCCAGGAGCACUCCGCAGUGUGUAGACCCCAGGGUUUCUGAACAGGGCCUUGGACUUCUCAACAGAGCACACUGAGUUAUCCAUCAAGCACAUCAAGGUGCCAGCCAGGCUCCCGCAGGGCCCACUGAACUAGGGAGGUCCAGAGGGGGCCCCCUUUUGCCACUGCAGGUGCCCCUAGAGAAACUGCCCAGCUCAGGCACGCCAGGCUCCUGGUAGGUUCCCCAUCACUGCCCUGGGUAGAUUCUCUAUCAAUGCCCUUGUGGUCAGAGUGAUCUUUCCAACACAGACCACGCAUCCCCCCUGCUCACAACCCUUCCAAAUCCCCCAUCUCACUCAGAAUAAAACCUGGAGUCCUGCCUCUCCCAGCUCAGACCCAGCGACUCCCAGCAGCUCGGUUCAAUCCCACUGGCCUUCUUGCUUUUUCUUAAAGAUGCCAGGGGGCUUUCCAUGGGCCUUGCCCUCCUCCUGAAAUGCUCCUACCCCAGACCUUCCUCUGGUCCACCCCACUCCAUUCCCACCCACAUCCUCAGAGAGAGCUUUCCAGACCCCUGUAUUUAACACAAAGGUCCACCUGCUUUUACCUCUUUCUGUCACUGUAACCCGCUUUCCCUUUCCCCAUAAAACCUAGCAGUGGACAAAAUUACGCUUCCUAAUUCAUGUGUUCUCAUCCGUCUCUUCCACCAGAAUGUAAAGUCCACAUGAGCAAGAACUUGAUUUCAUUCACUGCUCUCUGCUAAGGUCCAGAAUCACCUAGAACACAGUGUGCACUCCAUCACUAUUUAUGGAAUGACCAAGUCAUUCCUUGUUAUUUGAUCAACUCAUGAACCAUGUAGUUAUGCUAUAAACAAAAGAAUCUGAUUUUUUUAAAAAGAGAGAACUUUAUCGAAACAAAAUCAUGGUGGCCAAAGUCACCAACCCUCUCAAUAGCCAUUAUGGCCAUGGGCAGGACACAGCUCUGGCAGGAGAGUGAGCUCAGGGAGACGCCUCAGAAACAAAGCUCAGACUGCUCAACUAACUCUCCACAAACUCCAACAGAUGUGGAUGCCAAGUCUCCCCAGAGGGCGGUGCUGCUUCCAGAAACCCUUCCCUGGCAAGAUUUGGCACUCAAAAAUUCUGCCCUGGAACAAAAGCAAUAAUGAUGAC
Molecule: long non-coding RNA, 2442 nt
Filed under: Homo sapiens (human)
Lineage: Eukaryota; Metazoa; Chordata; Mammalia; Primates; Hominidae
Source: RNAcentral